Molecule: ribosomal RNA, 459 nt
Filed under: uncultured bacterium
Lineage: Bacteria
Description: partial 16S ribosomal RNA
Rfam family: Bacterial small subunit ribosomal RNA
Source: RNAcentral
CUACGGGCCGCAGCAGUAAGGAAUAUUGCGCAAUGGAGGCAACUCUGACGCAGCCAUGCCGCGUGCAGGAAGAAGGCCUUAUGGGUCGUAAACUGCUUUUAUUUAGGAAUAAACCCCCGAACGUGUUCGGGGCUGAAGGUACUAAACGAAUAAGCACCGGCUAACUCCGUGCCAGCAGCCGCGGUAAUACGGAGGGUGCAAGCGUUAUCCGGAUUUAUUGGGUUUAAAGGGUGCGCAGGCGGGCUAUUAAGUCAGUGGUGAAAUCCCGGGGCUCAACUCCGGAACUGCCAUUGAUACUGAUAGUCUUGAGUUUGGUUGAAGUGGGCGGAAUGUAGCAUGUAGCGGUGAAAUGCAUAGAUAUGCUACAGAACACCAAUCGCGAAGGCAGCUCACUAAGCCAAAACUGACGCUCAUGCACGAAAGCGUGGGGAUCAAACAGGAUUAGAUACCCUUGUAGUC